GACGAACGCUGGCGGCGUGCUUAACACAUGCAAGUCGAACGGACAGGCACUGCUUUUGCGGCGUGCUCGAUUGGCGCACGGGUGAGUAACACGUGAGUAACCCGCCCUUGACAUUGGGAUAACAUCAGGAAACUGGGGCUCAUACCCGGUAGGAGCUCCUGCUGCAUGGGGGGGGUUGGAAAGUUUCGGCGGUUGGGGAUGGACUCGCGGGUUAUCAGCUUGUUGGGCGGGUAGUGGCUUACCACGGCUUUGACGGGUAGCCGGCCUGGGAGGGUGAACGGCGACCUUGGGACUGAGAGACGGCGCAGACGCGUACGGGAGGCAGCAGUGGAGAGCAUUGCGCAGUGGGCGGGAGCCUGAUGCAGCAACGCCGCGUUCGGAAUGACGGCCUUUGGGUUGUAAACAGCUGUCGCCUGUGACGAAGCGUGAGUGACGGUAAUGGGUAAAGAAGCACCGGCUAACUACGUG
RNAcentral lists this ribosomal RNA (468 nucleotides) under uncultured bacterium. Its description in RNAcentral is "partial 16S ribosomal RNA". It matches the Rfam family "Bacterial small subunit ribosomal RNA", at positions 28 to 507 of the family's 1533-position model. The record is from RNAcentral.